Molecule: ribosomal RNA, 464 nt
Filed under: uncultured bacterium
Lineage: Bacteria
Description: partial 16S ribosomal RNA
Rfam family: Bacterial small subunit ribosomal RNA
Source: RNAcentral
CUACGGGACGCUGCAGUGGGGAAUAUUGCACAAUGGGCGCAAGCCUGAUGCAGCCAUGCCGCGUGUAUGAAGAAGGCCUUCGGGUUGUAAAGUACUUUCAGCGGGGAGGAAGGGAGUAAAGUUAAUACCUUUGCUCAUUGACGUUACCCGCAGAAGAAGCACCGGCUAACUCCGUGCCAGCAGCCGCGGUAAUACGGAGGGUGCAAGCGUUAAUCGGAAUUACUGGGCGUAAAGCGCACGCAGGCGGUUUGUUAAGUCAAAUGUGAAAUCCCCGGGCUCAACCUGGGAACUGCAUCUGAUACUGGCAAGCUUGAGUCUCGUAGAGGGGGGUAGAAUUCCAGGUGUAGCGGUGAAAUGCGUAGAGAUCUGGAGGAAUACCGGUGGCGAAGGCGGCCCCCUGGACGAAGACUGACGCUCAGGUGCGAAAGCGUGGGGAGCAAACAGGAUUAGAUACUCGAGUAGUC